GCCUCAGUCAGCAGCGCUCUGUCGUCCCUCUGGGUCAAACUCUCAGCAUGAGCUUCAGCCUGUUGGACAGCGAAACACCAUCAUAGUGAGAAGAAACCUGGCCACAUAUUUGGUUGCAGAAAAAAAACAAGAGAACAUAAAACAUUAAAGAACAACAGAGUGAGAGAACUCAAAAAAGCUCCUCUGCAGGAUUUGUCAACCUGUCUUCCAUCUUCCUCCACUACAAUCAGCAUCACCCUGUCACUUUUAUAACCCUCCCUUCCUCACCCCCUGCACUCCAUCUCCACAGCUCAUUUUCCUCGCUGACGUCGCCCCUCCUCCAACACUAGAGUACACUUUCUCUCUCUCUGCCUUCGCCUGAGUGAACUCAGCUCCUGACCAGUAAAAUCUAUUCUCUUGCACCUUCUCUCUGCUCAGUCACACAGGCAUUGUUAUGUUACACUGCAGACAGCCUCUGUUCAGCACACUCCCCUCUCC
Molecule: long non-coding RNA, 477 nt
Organism: Dicentrarchus labrax (European seabass)
Lineage: Eukaryota; Metazoa; Chordata; Actinopteri; Moronidae
Exons: 3
Source: RefSeq, a predicted model, not a curated record